Molecule: long non-coding RNA, 361 nt
Filed under: Mytilus galloprovincialis (Mediterranean mussel)
Lineage: Eukaryota; Metazoa; Mollusca; Bivalvia; Mytilida; Mytilidae
Source: RNAcentral
GUCCUGUCUCAACUCAGGAGUCUGUAAUUAAGUGGUUGUUGUUUGUAAAAGAGUUACAUAUUUGUUUUUCAUUAAUUUUUUUUUUGUUAUUUUCUAGUUUGAAUUGUGUUACAUUUGUCCUUUCGGGACCUUUUAUAGUUGUGUAUGCGGUAUGGGAUUUGCUCAUUGUUGUAGGCCGUACGGUGACCCAUAGUUAAUAAUUUCCUGUGUCAAUUGGUCAUUUGUGGAGAAUUGUGUUAUUUGCAAUCAUACCACAUCUUCUUUUUUAUUAAUAUAUUUUCAGAAGAAUGACGCAAAAAACGUCGAAUAUAUUUAUUUGGUUUUUAUUAUCUCCAUGGCACGUUCUGUCAAAUCAUUUGAG